ACGCACGCUGGCGGCAUGCCUAACACAUGCAAGUCGAACGAGACCUUCGGGUCUAGUGGCGCACGGGUGCGUCACGCGUGGGAACCUGCCCUUAGGUUCGGAAUAACUCCCCGAAAGGGGUGCUAAUACCGGAUAAUGUCUUCGGACCAAAGAUUUAUCGCCUUUGGAUGGGCCCGCGUUGGAUUAGCUAGUUGGUAGGGUAAAAGCCUACCAAGGCGACGAUCCAUAGCUGGUCUGAGAGGAUGAUCAGCCACACUGGGACUGAGACACGGCCCAGACUCCUACGGGAGGCAGCAGUGGGGAAUAUUGGACAAUGGGCGAAAGCCUGAUCCAGCAAUGCCGCGUGAGUGAUGAAGGCCUUAGGGUUGUAAAGCUCUUUUACCCGGGAUGAUAAGGACAGGACCGGGAGAAUAAGCUCCGGCUAACUCCGG
This 431-nucleotide ribosomal RNA is filed under the name uncultured bacterium. RNAcentral's name for it is "partial 16S ribosomal RNA". It matches the Rfam family "Bacterial small subunit ribosomal RNA", at positions 29 to 506 of the family's 1533-position model. The record is from RNAcentral.